GCAAACUUGGUCAUUUAGAGGAAGUAAAAGUCGUAACAAGGUCUCCGUUGGUGAACCAGCGGAGGGAUCAUUAUAGAGUUAUCUAAACUCCCAAACCCAUGUGAACUUACCUCAUGUUGCCUCGGCGGCUGCUUGCCCUUGACCCGGGAGUAACUACCCGGUAGUCAGGGGUCAUCGCCGCCGGCGGCCCAGCAAACUCUGUUUUAUUUUGGAACUCUGAAUAUAAAACUUAAUAAGUUAAAACUUUCAACAACGGAUCUCUUGGUUCUGGCAUCGAUGAAGAACGCAGC
Molecule: unclassified non-coding RNA, 290 nt
Filed under: uncultured fungus
Lineage: Eukaryota; Fungi
Description: partial contains small subunit ribosomal RNA, internal transcribed spacer 1, and 5.8S ribosomal RNA
Rfam family: Eukaryotic small subunit ribosomal RNA (bases 1-73)
Source: RNAcentral